GCUGGGCACAGUGGUGCACACCUGUAAUCCCAGCACCUCCAGAGGCUGAGACAGGAGGAUCGCUAGUUCAAAGCCAGCCUCAGCAAAAGUGAGGCACUAAGCAACUCAGUGAGACCCUGUCUCUA
This 125-nucleotide small RNA is filed under the name Marmota monax (woodchuck). Lineage: Eukaryota; Metazoa; Chordata; Mammalia; Rodentia; Sciuridae. The record is from RNAcentral.